UUCUUUCACAAGAGAUACUUUAAUGCAGAAACAAAGUUGUGAUAAGUAUCACUUUUCUUAUUUCUAUAAAGUAUAUUUAAACAAAUUUCUCAGGCGAAACCUUCCAAGUUGUAUUUUUCAACUUUUUGAGUUAAGAAUUAGGAAGAUAAACAUAGAGUUUCAAAUCUCACCACCAUUUAAUAAUGCUAGAUGGGAGUACUGUGUUGUAUUAUCUUUAUCUUACCAUUAUUGUCAUCAUCUAAUAAGACAAAAACCUUGUGAAGUGGUCCCCUUCUGGUGUUUGAGUCGGUACUAGAGCUUACUUAGGAAAUGCAAGACUCCGCCUUCUUUCAAGGAACCUUCAGCGGGUAAGAAUUAUCUUGAUGUUCCUAUUUAUCUUCCAUUUCUGAUCUGCUAAGCCAUGCAAAACUGAGGGGUGAGAGGCCAAAUGUCUCCCUCAUGGGGAGUUCAAGGAAGUGGGGCAAAUUGAAAGAAGGAAGGAACUGCACUCGUGCAUGCAAUAUCUUUUCUCUUCCUGGUAAGAGUGAGUUCAAGAGAACUCAUGGAAGAAUCAUUGCUUGUCCAAAUGCCCACACAGCCAAAGCCCUGGCUUCCAUACCUCAUAAUGCAACCCUAGUGGUCACACCACAGGAAUGCAAGCCCUUUCAUCCGAGAGUCACAGACCACAGUGGACACCUUGACCGGCUCCCCAGGAAACACUGGUCAGAAGGACAUCAGUGCAGCUCAGGCCAAAGUCACCCUCCAAGACAAGUUGAGAACAGUAUAAAGAAACAUGUGCUCAGGGCAGUAUUUCUCCAGAGAGCUAUUUCAGAUUCCACAGAAGAGUAACUGGUGGCCUUGGAUAAAUCAUUCCUCUCAUUUAUGUGCUGAACGGGAGAAAACAAGUCAACAACUGAUGCAUGCAAAAGCAUUUGGAGGUGAUGGAUGGAGACAUUAUGGCGCAUUUCGUCAAUGGCAUGCCAUUAGAGAAAACCAUUUCAUAGAGUAAAUUAAGAAAACAAACCAGCUACGUGACACACUUGGAAUUGCCACUGGCCAGACUGGUUUUUCUCCUUCAGGAAUGAAGCUGCCUGGGAUUGACAUUAUCAUUAUCACUCAGACUCCCUUUCCUAGGUUAGCUGCCAGUGCUUGUCUGAGACUUCAAUCCCCGGCCAGCACUUCCCCAUACGGAUGGCCACUCACAUAACUGGACAAACCGAUCACAGGCCCUGAUUUUCUUUUAUUGCUCUUUUGAACUAUUAUUUAAACCUUACUGCUAUUUAACUUCAUUGUGUCAAUAUAUUGUCUUCUUCACCAAAUUAUAAGGACCUUUCAUGACAAGAACAGAGUCUUGCAAAUGAAGCGUACUGGUCUGGCACUGUGCCUAUCAUGUGCAGGAAAUGUCUAUUGAUUUCAUCUGUGAUUAAUUUCUCCUAUCUUUUUCACAUACCUGGCUAUUGUCUGCCAAACACUGAUUAAUUCAUUAAGAAAGCAUGUCUUCAGACCUAGAUGCUGGGAAUGCAAAAGACAUGGUCACUGAACUCGGGGAGCUCACAGGCACACAAGCAACAGUCGGAACAAGAUGCGAGUGGAAGUGCUCGCGGGGGACGUGGCAGUAUGGAAAGGAGGCGUUCUGGGUAUGGGCAGGGGGAUUCAGGAAAGGCCUCUAGGAAAAAGGAGUCCUUUUGAGGAUUAAGUACUUGGUACCAGAGCAUUAUAGCCAAUGUGGGCCAGGGCAUGUUGGUGAGCCCAAGCAUGGAGAAUUUGGGUUCCAAGUCAUUUGCUAUUUUAGAAGCUUCUACUGAAAAUCUCAACCUAUCCUCAAGGUCAUCCACUAAGGUCAGGGCAGAAAUGGGCUAUGAAAUUACAGGCCCCUUCCCUUGGUAAACGGGCUUGAGAGCACUCGGAUGCACCUCAUGGUAACCGUGGCUUCAUAAAAAUCAAAGCUGAUUGAUGGGUGCAGGCUCUCUGCCUCUCCGUGUUUAGUCUAUUCGUGCUUUUAGUACCACUGUGGCCAUGCUUCCUAAUGGAAAUGCAUUUCUCUCUCUCACCAUUACCCAGAUAUAGAUGCUCUCAGAUAUGAAAGGCCUUUUACCUCAAGAUUUUUGUCUUGUAAGACAUCCCUAAUUCAGGAAGGAAACAAGGAGGAGUUGCGAAGAACCUACCACAAAUGUUUUGUCUUGUAUUUGAGAGGGCGGCGGGGUGGGGGUGGGGGUAAUUAAAGGGCUCAAUUUUUGUAUGGCAUGGGCUUGCAGCUCCAUUACCUUGACUCAGUUCAGUUCAAGGAAUUCACUUUCUCUUGUGAAAGACUCUGAAUAACCUGGAAAAAUAAGCUAAUGUUUCCUUUUUCACCCCCCCAGCCCUUUUCUUUUGCUUUAAGAAAUUGUGAUGGAUAGCAUAAUAAAAUCUUGCAUGUAUAAUGAGAGAGAGCUCUGUGGCCCAGGAGCCUAGUGAUAUUAUCAUAUUAAUUCCAAUAAAUCCACGAUGAGGUGGGAAUUCUUCCCAUUAUACAGAUGUGGAACAGGAGCCUGAGCAAAGUACAGCAGGACAUCCAGGCUACCCAGAAGGCAAAUGGCAUUGCUGGGGUUUGAAAGCAAGCACAUCGGAUUCCAAAGUCAGGGGCUCUUACGGACACCCAACAGGUUUCAGACUGGACAUAUCCGUGUAUGUCAAAACACGUGACAAAAGAGCAACAUCUCUCUUGUGGGAGGAGGAAUUGGCUGCCUGUCUGUCGGUUAUAGGUGGACUGGUUGAAAGGAAACAAAGUGACUCAUCAUGGGAACACUUGGAGGUCAGAUUCUAAGGUCUAAUAAUAAUCUGGCUUAAUAAUAAGAAGCCACAGAUAGGCAGGUUGCUGUUCUCUGGUGAAAAAUCAUAUUAUGUCUGGCCAAACUGAUCUCUCCAUCUGUGACUAAUUCCUGAAUGUCAAACUGAAAAAGCAGUUCAAGUUCAAAAUUAAGAGCCGAAGGCAGCCCGGGUGGCUCAGCAGUUUAGCACCACCUUCAGCCCAGGGCGUGCUAAACCGCUGCGCCACCCAGGGAUCCCCUAGGGAGCUAUUUCUUUUGAUUUACUGUGUGACCAUGGUGGUGCCACUGACCCUCUCUGAACCUCUCUUGAGUUGCGGAGCCUGACUUGACAAUGGACACCAGGGAAGAGUGAGGCUUUGCAGAGAGGCUUUUGGAUCAGUGUGGUUUUCUCUUCCAUGGAAAGGCAGGACAUGAGCAGAAAGGUAGAGAUAACAUCUUGAAAAGGAAGGGGAAGAACCUUGUCAGAGAGUGGACACACAGGUAGCAGUCUUGCUACUUCAUCAUCAAGUAGGAGAAAAAACAUUUUGCAUUUAGAAGCUGACAUCCAAAAGUGGGCCUGGAACCUUCUAUAAAACCGCCUAUUAACAAUGUCCAGUCCUGGAACCCUCCCCUCAUCCAACUGCUUUCCGCUCUGUGCCCAGCCAUGUUUCCAAAGCCUCAAGCUUAUAGCCAAAUCCUCAAAACAAAGUAGACCUUAAUUCACUUUGUUUUAAUAACUCAACAAAAA
RNAcentral lists this long non-coding RNA (3513 nucleotides) under Canis lupus familiaris (dog). Its description in RNAcentral is "lncRNA (ENSCAFG00000053770.1)". Lineage: Eukaryota; Metazoa; Chordata; Mammalia; Carnivora; Canidae. The record is from RNAcentral.